Molecule: small nuclear RNA, 160 nt
Filed under: Cervus hanglu yarkandensis (Yarkand deer)
Lineage: Eukaryota; Metazoa; Chordata; Mammalia; Artiodactyla; Cervidae
Description: U2 spliceosomal RNA (ENSCHYG00000024990.1)
Rfam family: U2 spliceosomal RNA
About the family: U2 is a small nuclear RNA (snRNA) component of the spliceosome (involved in pre-mRNA splicing). Complementary binding between U2 snRNA (in an area lying towards the 5' end but 3' to hairpin I) and the branchpoint sequence (BPS) of the intron results the bulging out of an unpaired adenosine, on the BPS, which initiates a nucleophilic attack at the intronic 5' splice site, thus starting the first of two transesterification reactions that mediate splicing.
Source: Rfam by way of RNAcentral
AUCGCCUCUCGGCCUUUUGGCUAAGAUCAAGUGUAGUAUCUGUUCUUAUCAGUAAAAUAUGAGCUCCAAAAAGGAAGGAACUUUGUUCUGUUGGCUGCUCUUCUCAGUUUCUUAAAUAGUGCCUGGCAUAUAGUAGGAACUUAGAAAAUUAUUAAUUAUU